This 465-nucleotide ribosomal RNA is filed under the name uncultured bacterium. Its description in RNAcentral is "partial 16S ribosomal RNA". It matches the Rfam family "Bacterial small subunit ribosomal RNA", at positions 28 to 507 of the family's 1533-position model. The record is from RNAcentral.
GACGGACGCUGGCGGCGUGCUUAACACAUGCCACUCGAACGGAAAGGCCCCAGCUUGCUGGGGUACUCGAGUGGCGAACGGGUGAGUAACACGUGGGUGAUCUGCCCUGCACUCUGGGAUAAGCCUGGGAAACUGGGUCUAAUACCGGAUAGGACCGUGCUUUAGUGUGUGCGGUGGAAAGUUUUUCGGUGCAGGAUGAGCCCGCGGCCUAUCAGCUUGUUGGUGGGGUAAUGGCCUACCAAGGCGGCGACGGGUAGCCGGCCUGAGAGGGUGUACGGCCACAUUGGGACUGAGACACGGCCCAGACUCCUACGGGAGGCAGCAGUGGGGAAUAUUGCACAAUGGGCGCAAGCCUGAUGCAGCGACGCCGCGUGGGGGAUGACGGCCUUCGGGUUGUAAACCCCUUUCGGCAGGGACGAAGCUUUUGUGACGGUACCUGCAGAAGAAGCACCGGCUAACUACGUG